RNAcentral lists this ribosomal RNA (353 nucleotides) under uncultured fungus. RNAcentral's name for it is "SSU rRNA". It matches the Rfam family "Eukaryotic small subunit ribosomal RNA", at positions 20 to 371 of the family's 1831-position model. Lineage: Eukaryota; Fungi. The record is from RNAcentral.
GUAGUCAUAUGCUUGUCUCAAAGAUUAAGCCAUGCAUGUCUAAGUAUAAACAAAUCUAUACUGUGAAACUGCGAAUGGCUCAUUAAAUCAGUUAUAGUUUAUUUGAUAGUACCUUACUACAUGGAUAACCGUAGUAAUUCUAGAGCUAAUACAUGCUAAAAAACCCGACUCUCGGAAGGGUUGUAUUUAUUAGAUAAAAAACCAAUGCGGUCUCGGCCGGUUAUUUGGUGAUUCAUAAUAACUUUGCGAAUCGUAUGACUUUGCGUCGACGAUGAUUCAUUCAAAUUUCUGCCCUAUCAACUUUCGAUGGUAAGGUAUUGGCUUACCAUGGUUACAACGGGUAACGGGGAAUA